This 460-nucleotide ribosomal RNA is filed under the name uncultured bacterium. RNAcentral describes it as "partial 16S ribosomal RNA". It matches the Rfam family "Bacterial small subunit ribosomal RNA", at positions 338 to 795 of the family's 1533-position model. The record is from RNAcentral.
CCUACGGGGGGCAGCAGUGAGGAAUAUUGGUCAAUGGACGCAAGUCUGAACCAGCCAUGCCGCGUGCAGGAAGACGGCUCUAUGAGUUGUAAACUGCUUUUGUACGAGGGUAAUAGCAGAUACGCGUAUCUGUCUGAAAGUAUCGUACGAAUAAGGAUCGGCUAACUCCGUGCCAGCAGCCGCGGUAAACCGGAGGAUUCAAUCGUUAACCGGAUUUAUUGGGUUUAAAGGGUGCGUAGGCGGUCGGAUAAGUUAGAGGUUAAAUCCCCAGGCUCAACUUCGGAAUUGCCUGUGAAACUGUUCGGCUAGAGAGGAGUUGCGGUAGGCGGAAUGUAUGGUGUAGCGGUGAAAUGCUUAGAGAUCAUACAGAACACCGAUUGCGAAGGCAGCUUACCAAGCUACUUCUGACGUUGAGGCACGAAAGCGUGGGGAGCAAACAGGAUUAGAUACCCCUGUAGUC